Molecule: ribosomal RNA, 484 nt
Filed under: uncultured bacterium
Lineage: Bacteria
Description: partial 16S ribosomal RNA
Rfam family: Bacterial small subunit ribosomal RNA
Source: RNAcentral
AUUGAACGCUGGCGGCAUGCUUUACACAUGCAAGUCGAACGGCAGCGCGGGCUUCGGCCUGGCGGCGAGUGGCGAACGGGUGAGUAAUACAUCGGAACGUGCCCAGUAGUGGGGGAUAGCUCGGCGAAAGCCGGAUUAAUACCGCAUACGACCUGAGGGUGAAAGCGGGGGAUCUUCGGACCUCGCGCUAUUGGAGCGGCCGAUGGCAGAUUAGCUAGUUGGUGGGGUAAAGGCCUACCAAGGCGACGAUCUGUAGCUGGUCUGAGAGGACGACCAGCCACACUGGGACUGAGACACGGCCCAGACUCCUACGGGAGGCAGCAGUGGGGAAUUUUGGACAAUGGGCGAAAGCCUGAUCCAGCAAUGCCGCGUGUGUGAUGAAGGCCUUCGGGUUGUAAAGCACUUUUGGCGGGAACGAAAAGGACUGUUCCAAUACCACGGUUCGAUGACGGUACCCGCAGAAUAAGCACCGGCUAACUACGUG